CCCCUAGAUGUUCUGGGCCGCACACGCGCUACACUGAAGGAGGCAGCGUGUACUCCUGGAUCGAAAGAUUUGGGUAACCCGCGAAUCUCCUUCGUGCUAGGGAUUGAGGUUUGCAAUUAUCCUUCAUGAACGAGGAAUUCCCAGUAAGUGCAAGUCAUAAGCUUGCGCUGACUACGUCCCUGCCCUUUGUACACACCGCCCGUCGCUACUACCGAUUGAAUGAUUUAGUGAGGACUUCGGACUGGGACCGAUGCGGCUUUCGGGCUGCGUCGGUAUUCUGGAAAGAUGUCCAAACUGUAUCAUUUAGAGGAAGUAAAANUCGUANCA
Molecule: ribosomal RNA, 327 nt
Filed under: uncultured eukaryote
Lineage: Eukaryota
Description: partial 18S ribosomal RNA
Rfam family: Eukaryotic small subunit ribosomal RNA
Source: RNAcentral